ACUUAAGUAGUUUAAAGAAAAUAUUGAUUUGUGGUGUCAGUGAUGUAGUUAUCUAUCUUAAGUC
RNAcentral lists this transfer RNA (64 nucleotides) under Blattella asahinai (Asian cockroach). RNAcentral's name for it is "tRNA-His". Lineage: Eukaryota; Metazoa; Arthropoda; Insecta; Blattodea; Blattellidae. The record is from RNAcentral.